UUGAAAAGAAAAAAAAGAAAAAGUAACAAAAAUAGCAAUCUUUUUUCUUCCUCUUCUUCGCUCCUCCUCUCAGACGGAGGACCAGGUGAAGCGUGGACUCCUUUUGGAUGUUGUAGUCGGCGAGAUUGCGUCCAUCCUCGAGCCGUUUCCCGGCGAAAAGGAGGCGCUGCUCCUCCGAUGGGAUCCCUUCUUUGUCUUCUAUCUCGAUUUGAUGUUCUCGUAUGUGUCAGAGGAACCGACCUGGAGGGUUAUCGUCUUCUCCGUUAGGGUUUUCAUGAAGAUCUGCGACGGGGAACAAACAGUAGAAACAGAAGAAAGAGAAAAAAAUCGAGAUAGAAUGUCUUGUUCAUUUCUGUAUUAAAAGAUAUCUUUGAGAAAGUGAAAAGAAGAUUUGAAAGACAACGAAACGGUAAAUGGAGACAGAAGCAGCGAGAAGUUAGAUAAAUCUAUGGAACAGAGGAUGGAAGGAGCAGAGAAGAAACAGAGACAGAUGAUGUCUUUGACGGAGAAACAGAAACAGAGACAGUUAAACAAUGAUCAUGAGGCAAAAUCAUGAUUUAGUCAUUGGUGCUAUUGAAGAUGUAGGGUGAUAUUCAAGAACUUGAAAGCCAGUAGGCCCAGUACAUUGCACGGAAAUCCGAAGGCUCUUUCAAUAUCAUUCCCGUGUUGAACCCUCUCUCAAACUUCAGAACAAAGCUGAGAGUUGAAUAAUGAUGAAAGACAUGACCCAAAAUCAAACAAAAGCUUUCGAGUACACAGAUAAGUCUCGUACUAUGGAUUUAUUUGAUUGAGUUAACAAUGAGAAACAGUAUAUGUUUUACAUUGUAGUGAGCUGACUUAAUUAAGUAUACAAAUCAUGUACAGGUGGUGCAUUUAGGAUUGCUUACAUUGUGAGCACCAAGAUAAACAUCUUUUGGAAAGUCUGAGACAGCAGCUCCGAGAAGUUACAUAAAUAAAAUCUACGGAACAGAGGAUUGAAGGAGCAGAGAAGAAGCGAUUCAGAGUCCUUCUCUUGAAGUGUCGUUGUUGUUGACAGCAGCCGUUUGCAUGAGCAAGUUGAAUGAGAUAAUGCUCAGUCAGUGAUAUUUUGCAGGAACAUCUUAAGCCUUCUGACAUAUCACAAAGAGUCCGAAGACGAUGUGAAUUCACAACUAACUACAGAUUACAUUCCUUUAUGAAGUAUCUAUCUACAAUAAACAGAUAAGUUUCCGAACAUUGCUUUAUUUGUUUGGGUUAUACAUGAGAAUAGGUAUAUGUUUUAUACUUAGUGAGUUGACUUAAUAGAUACAAUUCAUGUACAGGUCUUCAUUAAAAGAAUUAGAGAAAGAAGCUUUAUACAUUUGAAGGACAUGGGACACAGACAUGACUGCCCAAAAAUAGAAACCAAUGUACUUGAUCGGAAAAGCAAGGUUGAGUUAAAAGAAAAGAUCAAACCUUGGCCAGAACAGAAUGGGAAUAUUUUUAAUAUAUAAAGGCUUUGCUUUAUGGCCCUGUAUAGACAAAGAAUAAUAUAGGAGGGACAAAGCCAAUUAUUUGCAGACAUAGUUGCCCACUCGUCAAAUUGUGAUAAGAUAAAUAAUGAGAAGUUACAUAAAAUCUAUGCAAGCGACUUUUGAAGGAGCAGAAAAGAAACCGAGACAGAUGAGACCAGAUAAGUUUUCUACUAUAGCUUUAUUUUUGGAGGUUGUACAUGAGAAUACAUAUAUGUUUAAUACUGAGUCGAUUUAAUAGAUACAAAUCAUGUACAGGUGUUCAUUAAAAGGUUUCGAGAAAUAAGCUUUAUACAUUUGAAGGACAUGGGACAGUAGAGACAUGGCUGCGCAAAAAUAGAAACCCAAAAGGUGUUGAACGAUUCAAAGGCAAGGUACUUGGAGUAGGAAAGCUAUUGGUAAUAUCAGAUAAAAUCCCUGAUUUCGCAGAUCGUUUCUUACUGGAAGUAGACAGUGUAGGGAAAGUGUCAACAAAGACAGGCAAAGUACACAAUAUUAUGGUGAUGUUCGAGAGUCAUUAGAGACAUAAGCAGUUACUAAAUUCAAGGACAUGGGAAUGAGAGAUGGUCUGAAAAGCAAUAAGAGCCGAAGCAGAAUGGAGGAUAUCGCAGAGGUUUCCCCAUACGCAGCAUGGUAUUCUUGAAUCACUAUGGCGCAAGUCAGAAGCCCAGGGGUUAUUGGUUGUGCGGUAAGCUCCUCCUGCAGGCCUAACAUGAAAGUUGCGGAUGUUGCGCCACACUCCAACCAGAAGAUCACUGGCUUUACUCUCAAUGUAUAGGAUUUGAAAAAGUUUUGCAAGACAAACAUUUGAAGGAGAAGAGAUUCAAGGUAAAUGAGAUGAUAUAUUUGGUGAUGGGCUGGGAUUAGAAUUAGUAUGGGCUGGGGUAUUUAAUUGAAUAAGCAGAUGAUAUAUUUUGUGAUGGGCUUGUUUAGAUUUCAUUGGAAUUAUGUUUUGGGCUUUGUAAAUGGACGAUUUUUUUUUUAAAAAAAGAAAGGAAGGCAGUGGCA
Molecule: long non-coding RNA, 2498 nt
Organism: Raphanus sativus (radish)
Lineage: Eukaryota; Viridiplantae; Streptophyta; Magnoliopsida; Brassicales; Brassicaceae
Exons: 13
Source: RefSeq, a predicted model, not a curated record